Molecule: long non-coding RNA, 672 nt
Organism: Hevea brasiliensis (rubber tree)
Lineage: Eukaryota; Viridiplantae; Streptophyta; Magnoliopsida; Malpighiales; Euphorbiaceae
Exons: 2
Source: RefSeq, a predicted model, not a curated record
AUGUCACGCAACUCUGACCCAUUUUAAUUGGUUUUCCAGCCAUGGUAAAGCAGCGGCUGGAGGUGGCUCUCUGAUUUGCCCAUGCCCCGUGGAUAAGAUCUCUCUUUCUCGUAUCUCACACUCCCUAGCUAUUCGAAUGGAAAGAGAUGUGCAAUGAGGUGAAUUUACAGCUACCAAAGACAGUGGUAGAUGUGGCAAAGAUAGAAGCCUUAAGCAGCAAACCAAGUGGAGUUCUUGAAGCCUUGAGAGAAGGUUAAUGCUUGAAGGUAUGCUCUCAAUCUCGCUUCCUUCUAGAGAUAAUAUGGUCAAUGAAACAAAGGAAGAAAGUGUAUUUAUAAGCACCGAUGGAUUGACGUAUGGCCCAGAUAUCAAAAGCUCGUCAAGACGUCCCAAUUGGAAAAGUGUAUUUGGGAGAAUCUUAAGGUUAAGGCAACCAGCCAAAGAAAGUUUCUCAAGACUAGAGAGCGACCGUAUUGAUGAGGGUAUUUCUUCUGUUGUUGUAUUUCUUAGUCCUAGUACUUUAUACUCUCUGGAAUUUCUGGAAACUUUUUUUUAUUUUUGUGCAAUGAGAGAGAUAAAGUAGUUCAAAAGAUGUCAAACCUUUGGUACUCCGCAAACUCGUAAUCUCUCUACAAUAUACCAAAUCUAAUAAAUGAAGCUUUUGAAGGCGUC